GACGAACGCUGGCGGCGUGCUUAACACAUGCAAGUCGAACGGAAAGGCCCUGCUUUUGUGGGGUGCUCGAGUGGCGAACGGGUGAGUAACACGUGAGUAACCUGCCCUUGCCUUUGGGAUAACUUCAGGAAACUUGGGCUAAUACCGGAUAGGAGCUCCUGCUGCAUGGUGGGGGUUGGAAAGUUUCGGCUGUUGGGGAUGGACUCGCGGCUUAUCAGCUUGUUGGUGGGGUAGUGGCUUACCAAGGCUUUGACGGGUAGCCGGCCUGGGAGGGUGACCGGCCACAUUGCGACUGAGAUACGGCACAGACUCGUACGGGAGGCAGCAGUGGGGAAUAGUGUACUAUGGGCUGAAGCCUGGUGCAGCAACGCCGCGUGCGGGAUGACGGCCUUCGGUUUGUAUUCCGCUUUCGCCUGUGACGAAGCGUUAGUGACGGUAAUGGGUGAAGAAGCACCGGCUAACUACGUG
This 468-nucleotide ribosomal RNA is filed under the name uncultured bacterium. RNAcentral's name for it is "partial 16S ribosomal RNA". It matches the Rfam family "Bacterial small subunit ribosomal RNA", at positions 28 to 507 of the family's 1533-position model. The record is from RNAcentral.